This 1254-nucleotide non-coding RNA is filed under the name Bacillus gaemokensis. RNAcentral's name for it is "bacterial LSU rRNA". It matches the Rfam family "Bacterial large subunit ribosomal RNA", at positions 685 to 1920 of the family's 2925-position model. The record is from RNAcentral. Lineage: Bacteria; Bacillati; Bacillota; Bacilli; Caryophanales; Bacillaceae.
UAACUGGGCGAUUAGUUGCAAGGUAUAGACCCGAAACCCGGUGAUCUAGCCAUGGGCAGGUUGAAGGUUGGGUAACACUAACUGGAGGACCGAACCGACUACCGUUGAAAAGUUAGCGGAUGACCUGUGGAUCGGAGUGAAAGGCUAAUCAAGCUCGGAGAUAGCUGGUUCUCCUCGAAAGCUAUUUAGGUAGCGCCUCAUGUAUCACUGUAGGGGGUAGAGCACUGUUUCGGCUAGGGGGCCAUCCCGGCUUACCAAACCGAUGCAAACUCCGAAUACCGAAGAAUGUUAUCACGGGAGACACACGGCGGGUGCUAACGUCCGUCGUGAAGAGGGAAACAACCCAGACCGCCAGCUAAGGUCCCAAAGUCAUGGUUAAGUGGGAAACGAUGUGGGAAGGCAUAGACAGCCAGGAUGUUGGCUUAGAAGCAGCCAUCAUUUAAAGAAAGCGUAAUAGCUCACUGGUCGAGUCGGCCUGCGCGGAAGAUGUAACGGGGCUCAAACCAUACACCGAAGCUACGGGUAUCACGUAAGUGAUGCGGUAGAGGAGCGUUCUGUAAGCCUGUGAAGGUGAGUUGAGAAGCUUGCUGGAGGUAUCAGAAGUGCGAAUGCUGACAUGAGUAACGACAAUGGGUGUGAAAAACACCCACGCCGAAAGACCAAGGUUUCCUGCGCAACGUUAAUCGACGCAGGGUUAGUCGGUCCCUAAGGCGAGGCUGAAAAGCGUAGUCGAUGGGAAACAGGUUAAUAUUCCUGUACUUGGUGUUACUGCGAAGGGGGGACGGAGAAGGCUAGGCUAGCCGGGCGACGGUUGUCCCGGUUUAAGCGUGUAGGGGGUGUGACCUGGUAAAUCCGGUUGCAUGUUAACCCUGAGGCGUGAUGACGAUGCACUACGGUGCAGAAGUAGUUGAUGCCCUGCUUCCAGGAAAAUCCUCUAAGCUCCAGGUAACAUUAAAUCGUACCCCAAACCGACACAGGUGGUCAGGUAGAGAAUACCAAGGCGCUUGAGAGAACUCGGGUGAAGGAACUAGGCAAAAUGGUGCCGUAACUUCGGGAGAAGGCACGCUGGCAUGUAGGUGAAGUCCCUCGCGGAUGGAGCUGAAGCCAGUCGAAGAUACCAGCUGGCUGCAACUGUUUAAUAAAAACACAGCACUGUGCAAACACGAAAGUGGACGUAUACGGUGUGACGCCUGCCCGGUGCUGGAAGGUUAAUUGAUGGGGUCAGCCGCAAGGCGAAGCUCUUGAUCGAAGCCC